UUGGAGGGCAAGUCUGGUGCCAGCAGCCGCGGUAAUUCCAGCUCCAAUAGCGUAUAUUAAAGUUGUUGCAGUUAAAAAGCUCGUAGUUGAAUUUCGGGAUCAAUAUAUCGGUCGUGCCUUGGUACGUACUGGUAUCAUUGGUUUCUCCUUUCUGACGAACCAUGAUGUCAUUAAUUUGGUGUUAUGGGAAGUUAGGACUGUUACUUUGAAAAAAUUAGAGUGUUUAAAGCAGGCUUUAGCUUGAAUACAUUAGCAUGGAAUAAUGAAAUAGGACGUUCGAACCUAUUUUGUUGGUUUCUAGGACCAACGUAAUGAUUAAUAGGGAUAGUAGGGGGCAUUAGUAUUCAAUUGUCAGAGGUGAAAUUCUUGGAUUUAUUGAAGACUAACUACUGCGAAAGCAUUUGCCAAGGAUGUUUUCAUUAAUCAAGAACGAAAGUUAGGGGAUCGAAGACGAUCAGAUACCGUCGUAGUCUUAACCAUAAACUAUGCCGACUAGGGAACGGAUGAUGUUAAUUUUUUAAUGACUCAUUCGGCGCCUUACGGGAAAC
RNAcentral lists this ribosomal RNA (548 nucleotides) under uncultured Glomus. RNAcentral's name for it is "SSU rRNA". It matches the Rfam family "Eukaryotic small subunit ribosomal RNA", at positions 548 to 1098 of the family's 1831-position model. The record is from RNAcentral. Lineage: Eukaryota; Fungi; Glomeromycota; Glomeromycetes; Glomerales; Glomeraceae.